This is a non-coding RNA of Nemania abortiva, 72 nucleotides long. The record is from the annotation of a GenBank genome assembly. Lineage: Eukaryota; Fungi; Ascomycota; Sordariomycetes; Xylariales; Xylariaceae.
GCCCGGCUAGCUCAAUCGGUAGAGCGUGAGACUCUUAAUCUCAAGGUUGCGGGUGAGUUCCACAUUUGUGUG